CUCCUCUGUCCAUGGGAUUUUCCAGGCAAGAGCCCUGGAGUGGGGUGCCAGUGCCUUCUCUGAGUUUCUCGGGUAUGCACCUUGGCGCUAUGGGGCCAAUAUCCUUUGUUAUCAAAUGCUGAGUUUCCUCAAGCUGCGCCUUCAUUGGUGGCUGCGGUCUGAUGACUGCUUGAUGAUGGACACUCCUUGUUUCCAUCCUGAGUUCCCUCUGGGCUCACUGGGGGAGGGGUUGCAAUUGCUGAUGCCUGUGACAUACUCGGUUUCUGAUAUGGCGGGCAGUGUUUCAUUUCUCACAACUUCACACGUGUCGCGCACAUUUGCUCUCCUACCCACCACAUCUGCAGCCCUUGACCCUGCAGUUGAAGACCACUGCCCCAGCCUCAACCUCAUCUCAGCCAAAGCUUCAGCUCCCUCUCUCCAGCCUGCCCCCAUGUUCAAGGUCUGACUGAUCCUUUUCUCUCUGCUGUUUCACGGGAUCCACCGUUCAGUCCCUGUGGCGGGAGAUGCCUCCUCACAGCAUCCAGCCAGACUCCUCUCUCCCAGUCUGGGAUCCUGGGAAAACAGAACCAGAGGCCAGGGCGAACACUGUGCUGGAGACAGGGGUUCGGGAACCCCGGGGACAAGCAGGAACUGACCUGACUGCAUCCCUGACGGUCUUCAGAACCACUGCAGCCUCCCUCCCCCGGCUCCUGGUCAUAGCUGGCCAACCUCUGUAGCUCUUCCUCUCAGAGUGAGCUUUGUAGGGACUUUCAAGUUUCCCUCCACUACGGAGACCUUUUCCUGCCCAGUCCCUGGCUUAGGUCUCUGUGACUCUCCUUCAGAUCCCCUACUUUGAGGGUUCACCCCUCGGACUCUUUCUGGCAGGCGUUCCCAGGCCCAGACCCCUCAGAGGCCUCUUGCUCUGGGAAGGGAGCCUUUAUGUAGCUCUAGCCCAGUGCAAAAAGGCUGGUUUAAAACUCAACAUUCAGAAAACAAAAAUCAUGGCAUCCGGUCCCAUCACUUCAUG
RNAcentral lists this long non-coding RNA (1006 nucleotides) under Capra hircus (goat). RNAcentral's name for it is "lncRNA (ENSCHIG00010025769.1)". Lineage: Eukaryota; Metazoa; Chordata; Mammalia; Artiodactyla; Bovidae. The record is from RNAcentral.